AGAGCAUGGUGGCCAUGGGGUCAGCAAGCGACAAGUCUAGCAGGCUCUAUUUUCUCGUUCUUCCAGCUGCAUUGGACUUAUUCCAGCAAGAGCUACUAUGGCCCCCUGGCACCUCUCAAUUCGGAUCAGCCACAUUUCCUGUGCUAGACAGCUAGAGCUGUGUACCUGACCUGUGAAGAGAGAAGAGAAUCAAGGCUUUCAGGGGAGAAGACUUCCCCCUGGUGGACAAAAGUGGAAAGUACAUGGGAGACUGAAGCAACUGGCUGAGCCCCGACCGGACAGGGAAGGUAAGCAAAGGAGGAUGAGAGAAGAGGUCGGGAAUUCAUUCAUCCUCCUCCAGCACCAUGGGGUUUUCACGACAUCUAGUCAACGUCUCAAUUCCCCCGGAAAUGUCUUUGGAUAGUGACCUAUCACAUCCAUUUCCUUGAUUCAAUAAUCAUGUAUGAUUUUGGCAUCGUAUGUACAGUGAGGGCCUGUGGGGACAGCACCCAAAUCAGAGAAGCAGCUCGAGGCCAGGCUCCUGAGGAAUUUGGGAGUGAGAACUGAUGGCAGACUCGCUGCCAGGAAGAGCCUGAGCGUGGACCAUCCUUUGAAGGAAUGUUGCGGUGAAGGCGAGGGGCAUACCAGACUCGAGGGUGUGUUAAAUGGGGAAAAGAGUUUUGGACAACAAUACAGGCUGCAGAGCAAUUGUCGUGAUCAGAUCAAAGGAAUCAGAGGCAUUCGAGAGGGGGCAGAGCAGAGCUGGUUAGGGCAACACACUCUGGAGCCCGCUUCACUGCUUCCUGGCUGAGAGACUUCGGACAAGUCACUUCCCUCCCUGUGCCUCAGUUCCCUCAUCGGUAUAACGUCGGUAAUAAUAGUACCUGCCUCCUGUGUUUGCGGUGUGAUGAGCUGUGUUUGUGUUGAGGAUUGAUUCUCUUUUUCAAAAUAACAUAUGUCAAAUGCUUAGAAUGGACAUAAGAAAAUGCCACGUAUUCGCUAUUAUGAUUACAGGAAUUCCUUUAGACGGCAACAUUUUCUCUGAGUGCUCACACAGAGGUCAGCCUUUUCCCAGCGAGCUGAGGUUCAAG
RNAcentral lists this long non-coding RNA (1070 nucleotides) under Equus caballus (horse). RNAcentral's name for it is "lncRNA (ENSECAG00000051929.1)". Lineage: Eukaryota; Metazoa; Chordata; Mammalia; Perissodactyla; Equidae. The record is from RNAcentral.